Molecule: long non-coding RNA, 189 nt
Organism: Mytilus californianus (California mussel)
Lineage: Eukaryota; Metazoa; Mollusca; Bivalvia; Mytilida; Mytilidae
Exons: 5
Source: RefSeq, a predicted model, not a curated record
UACUAAAAGAGAAAAAAUGAGGGAUCGAAACGAGAAGACAACGAAGUCAGGAUUAUGUUGACUGAUAUCAAACAAAGGAGUACAGAAUUGGAAAGACCAUCAAUGAGGCAAAAGAGAGGAGUAAAGAAGGCUGAAGAAAAUGAAGCUGGUAAUCAAGGACAGUCUCAGAAGGGAAAUACAGGAGAACAG